GGCUGGAAAUUGUAGGGACACAUGCUGACAGGCCUUUUCCGCCCUGCGGAAAAACCGACUCCUGCAAAAUAACAGGCUACUUCCGGUGCGUAACAACCAUGCUUGUGCGGGGCACGCGCUGAGGCUAAAACCCUCCCUGAGAAACAAUGAGGCUUCUAAAAAUGGUUCCGGGCCCUCUGAGGCCGGGACAGCUCAAAAGGGCUCGGCUUUCCCCUCGCUCCACCUCCCCGCGCUCGAUUCCAGAGCUCAGCGCGGGUGAUUCAAUUAUUAUUGCACUCAAACGUGGCUUAGUAUCCAUUGAUGAAUACUGUAUGACUCAACCAAGAGAGGCCAGGAAGUAGGAACAUGCGGCUGAGGUUACACGGAGGCUACACCAGUCACACCACAGUAACCUGCUGUUGAGGAUUUCCCUGCUGGCAUAGCCACCCGCCCCUCAAGGACUGCAGGUACAAUGAUUAUAUCAUAAACUCUCCCUGGGUCUUGUUUUCACUUGUUCAAAAUUCAAAGUCCAGUUGGGAGCAUUCCAGUUGGUUGGCCUAGGCCAAGUGCUUACCCCUGGGCUGUGAAGAAGUGGGAGAGAGGAUGAAUGACCUUCUCCAGCUGCCAUAAAGAGGGUAGAGCCUCAGCCUACCAAUAUUGUCCGCAGUAGGGGACCAUGCAGAAACAGGAAGAUGAUUUGAACACUGGGUGACGAACAACCCCUUCUCCAAAUAUCUACUUCAUAGCUGGAGAGACAGAGAUACAUAUGUAAGAAAAGGAAAAAGUUGGAAAGAUUAUGCAGCAAACCAGUGGUAUGCUGGUAAAUUUUUAACAAAAGCCCCCAGGGGAAAAAGGGGGGGGGAAGCCCUGUUUUAUAGUGUUCACCUGUUUCUGUUGUGUAACUGUUCCCACCAUACCCAAUUUCUUUUUUUCUUUUUUUUUUUCCCUUCAGCUAAGACAGCAGAAGAGGUGAUUUAUUGUACACGUGUUACAUUCAGCCACAAAUGAAAACCGAAUUAGUCCCGAAAGUCACAGGUGCAGGACAGAGGACCAAAAGGGACUGUUUUGGUAUGAACAAGGCAGGUCUCUCAAAGGUGGUCGUUAAGAUCAGAUGGUGAUGGACGGUCUAGAUCCGUUCAAUCAAGUUCUAGAAAGUAGACAUGCAGUCCAACAAUUGGUACCAGCGUCCCUGGCCUCUGGCACAAGCUAGCGGUUUACUUAGACCUCUGCCUCAUCUUUCUUUUUUUAUGCUUUAGCCUGCACAUUCGCUUCUUCCUCCACUUAGCUCUCAUAGCGCAAAGGUUUCCAAGAAGAUGGUGCUAAGGCCGAGAGCGCACCAUACCCAAUUUCUAGGGUGACAUGAUGGAACACAGAACUGAGGAAGAGAUACGCAAUAGCUCACCGUUACAUAGCAUUUCCACUAUACAGAUACUAUUGAAGCAAAUCACCUCAAGAGAUAAUUGGAAAACACAGUGAAAUAAUCAGG
This 1465-nucleotide long non-coding RNA is filed under the name Ailuropoda melanoleuca (giant panda). Its description in RNAcentral is "lncRNA (ENSAMEG00000030964.1)". The record is from RNAcentral. Lineage: Eukaryota; Metazoa; Chordata; Mammalia; Carnivora; Ursidae.